AUUUAUAUAGUUUAAUAAAAACCUUACAUUUUCAUUGUAAAAUUAGAAUAAUUUUCUUAUAAAUA
This 65-nucleotide transfer RNA is filed under the name Omosita colon. Its description in RNAcentral is "tRNA-Glu". The record is from RNAcentral. Lineage: Eukaryota; Metazoa; Arthropoda; Insecta; Coleoptera; Nitidulidae.